GUAACAUAAAAACAGGGGAAACACAGAUAUCUAUAUGUAAAUAGUUCUCAAACUGGUAUCUGGCUAGUAACAAGCCACAUAGAGCUUCUUGAAGAAGAGAAUACCUACCAACCUUGUCUAAGAUAUUCGAGAUUAAUGAACUGCAUCUUAAUGAAUCUCUACAGAAAAAUGUUUUCAGUUUCACUUUUAAGAUUUUUUACAGUACAACUGUUGUGACCCUAGAUCUUAACCUCAGAGAGAAAUUUGUUUUCUUUUACUCAGGAAUCACAAUGAGUUGAGCUAGCGUGGACAGUACAAGGUUCUUAACGUUUCCUAUAUGAUCAGUCUCAUGAUUCUGAAAAAUGGGACCCAAUGCACUAACCUUUAACAUCUCACUGCUAGAAGACACUAUUACUAUUGGUGAGUUCCAUCACGUUAUUGGUUGAGAUUAAAUUAAACGUACCUUGAAAAGUUCAGUUUCUCUCCUUAUGGAAGAUGUACGCCAACCAACCAUGUCUAGUUGAAGUAAAAGAAAAACGAAUGCA
Molecule: long non-coding RNA, 524 nt
Organism: Brassica rapa (field mustard)
Lineage: Eukaryota; Viridiplantae; Streptophyta; Magnoliopsida; Brassicales; Brassicaceae
Source: RefSeq, a predicted model, not a curated record